UACAGAGGGGACAAGCGUUGUUCGGAAUUACUGGGCGUAAAGGGCGCGUAGGCGGCCCUCUAAGUCAGACGUGAAAUCCCUCGGCUCAACCGGGGAACUGCGUCUGAGACUGGGGGGCUUGAAUCCGGGAGAGGGAUGUGGAAUUCCAGGUGUAGCGGUGAAAUGCGUAGAUAUCUGGAGGAACACCGGUGGCGAAGGCAGCCUUCUGGGCCAACACUGACGCUCAUGCACGAAAGCGUGGGGAGCAAACAGG
RNAcentral lists this ribosomal RNA (253 nucleotides) under uncultured bacterium. RNAcentral describes it as "partial 16S ribosomal RNA". It matches the Rfam family "Bacterial small subunit ribosomal RNA", at positions 524 to 776 of the family's 1533-position model. The record is from RNAcentral.